ACGGCUCAGUAACACGUGGACAACCUACCCUCAGAUCUGGGAUAACUCCGGGAAACUGGAGAUAAUACCGGAUAAUCCGUGAACGCUGGAAUGCCUUACGGUUCAAAGCUUUAGCGUCUGAGGAUGGGUCUGCGGCCGAUUAGGUAGUUGCUGGGGUAACGUCCCAACAAGCCGAUAAUCGGUACGGGUUGUGAGAGCAAGAGCCCGGAGAUGGAUUCUGAGACACGAAUCCAGGUCCUACGGGGCGCAGCAGGCGCGAAAACUUUACACUGCGCGAAAGCGCGAUAAGGGGACCUCGAGUGCGUGCGCAAUGCGUACGCUUUUCAUAUGCCUAAAAAGCAUGUGGAAUAAGGGCCGGGCAAGACCGGUGCCAGCCGCCGCGGUAACACCGGCGGCUCGAGUGGUGGCCGCUAUUAUUGGGCUUAAAGGGUCCGUAGCCGGACCAGUUAGUCCCUUGGGAAAUCUUACGGCUUAACCGUAAGGCUGCCAAUGGAUACUGCUGGUCUUGGGACCGGGAGAGGCAAGAGGUACCUCAGGGGUAGGAGUGAAAUCCUGUAAUCCUUGAGGGACCGCCAGUGGCGAAGGCGUCUUGCUAGAACGGGUCCGACGGUGAGGGACGAAAGCUAGGGGCACGAACCGGAUUAGAUACCCGGGUAGUCCUAGCCGUAAACGAUGCGAGCUAGGUGUCACGUGGAUUGCGAAUCCAUGUGGUGCCGUAGGGAAACCGUGAAGCUCGCCGCCUGGGAAGUACGGCCGCAAGGCUGAAACUUAAAGGAAUUGGCGGGGAAUCAC
This 792-nucleotide ribosomal RNA is filed under the name uncultured archaeon. RNAcentral's name for it is "bacterial SSU rRNA". It matches the Rfam family "Archaeal small subunit ribosomal RNA", at positions 85 to 879 of the family's 1478-position model. The record is from RNAcentral.